This 467-nucleotide ribosomal RNA is filed under the name uncultured bacterium. RNAcentral's name for it is "bacterial SSU rRNA". It matches the Rfam family "Bacterial small subunit ribosomal RNA", at positions 328 to 792 of the family's 1533-position model. The record is from RNAcentral.
GCGCCAGACUCCUACGGGAGGCAGCAGUGAGGAAUAUUGGUCAAUGGCCGGAAGGCUGAACCAGCCAAGUCGCGUGAGGGAAGACGGCCCUACGGGUUGUAAACCUCUUUUGCCGGGGAGCAACGGGCGCCACGUGUGGCGCCACUGAGAAUACCCGGAGAAAAAGCAUCGGCUAACUCCGUGCCAGCAGCCGCGGUAAUACGGAGGAUGCGAGCGUUAUCCGGAUUUAUUGGGUUUAAAGGGUGCGUAGGCGGAAUGCCAAGUCAGCGGUAAAAUCGCGGGGCUCAACCUCGCUCCGCCGUUGAAACUGGCGUUCUUGAGUGGGCGAGAAGUAUGCGGAAUGCGUGGUGUAGCGGUGAAAUGCAUAGAUAUCACGCAGAACUCCGAUUGCGAAGGCAGCAUACCGGCGCCCAACUGACGCUGAAGCACGAAAGCGUGGGUAUCGAACAGGAUUAGAUACCCGAGUA